This 497-nucleotide ribosomal RNA is filed under the name uncultured bacterium. Its description in RNAcentral is "partial 16S ribosomal RNA". It matches the Rfam family "Bacterial small subunit ribosomal RNA", at positions 28 to 507 of the family's 1533-position model. The record is from RNAcentral.
GAUGAACGCUGGCGGCGUGCCUAAUACAUGCAAGUCGAGCGAACAGAUAAGGAGCUUGCUCCUUUGACGUUAGCGGCGGACGGGCGAGUAACACGUGGGUAACCUACCUAUAAGACUGGAAUAACUCCGGGAAACCGGGGCUAAUGCCGGAUAACAUUUAGAACCGCAUGGUUCUAAAGUGAAAGAUGGUUUUGCUAUCACUUAUAGAUGGACCCGCGCCGUAUUAGCUAGUUGGUAAGGUAACGGCUUACCAAGGCAACGAUACGUAGCCGACCUGAGAGGGUGAUCAGCCACACUGGAACUGAGACACGGUCCAGACUCCUACGGGAGGCAGCAGUAGGGAAUAUUCCGCAAUGGGCGAAAGCCUGACGGAGCCACGCCGCGUGAGUGAUGAAGGUCUUCGGAUCGUAAAACUCUGUUAUUAGGGAAGAACAAAUGUGUAAGUAACUGUGCACGUCUUGACGGUACCUAAUCAGAAAGCCACGGCUAACUACGUG